Molecule: long non-coding RNA, 356 nt
Filed under: Carica papaya (papaya)
Lineage: Eukaryota; Viridiplantae; Streptophyta; Magnoliopsida; Brassicales; Caricaceae
Description: long non-coding RNA (CPAP_LNC011224)
Source: RNAcentral
AUUAUAGAAUCAUUUACCGUUCACUUACCAUUGUGAAAUUUAUGAAAAUAACCUAUAGAGACAAUAAUAUCAUACAGAUCAUAACUUCAUGUACAAUUAGUAACAUAGAACAUAUCAUAAAUUCAUAUUCAUUAACAAUAAACCAAAUCAUAACCGUUUCUCGUUUCACCAGCCUACUAGUAUUCAUGGGGGUUCGUAGGGGUGUCCUCGCUACACGUGAACCAUUUCCCUUAACAAUCUCAAUUACAGGGCCGUCCCCAUACCAUGUCCGUUAUGAGCACCAAAGACAUUAAACCUCAAUAUCCCAUCUGAUAUGAGGGUGAAGCGGGCCGUCUCCAUAUCCCGUCAGGUAUGAG